This 430-nucleotide ribosomal RNA is filed under the name uncultured bacterium. Its description in RNAcentral is "bacterial SSU rRNA". It matches the Rfam family "Bacterial small subunit ribosomal RNA", at positions 340 to 786 of the family's 1533-position model. The record is from RNAcentral.
UACGGGAGGCAGCAGUGGGGAAUCUUAGACAAUGGGGGCAACCCUGAUCUAGCCAUGCCGCGUGAGUGAUGAAGGCCUUAGGGUUGUAAAGCUCUUUCAGCUGGGAAGAUAAUGACGGUACCAGCAGAAGAAGCCCCGGCUAACUCCGUGCCAGCAGCCGCGGUAAUACGGAGGGGGCUAGCGUUGUUCGGAAUUACUGGGCGUAAAGCGCACGUAGGCGGACUGGAAAGUCAGAGGUGAAAUCCCAGGGCUCAACCUUGGAACUGCCUUUGAAACUAUCAGUCUGGAGUUCGAGAGAGGUGAGUGGAAUUCCGAGUGUAGAGGUGAAAUUCGUAGAUAUUCGGAGGAACACCAGUGGCGAAGGCGGCUCACUGGCUCGAUACUGACGCUGAGGUGCGAAAGCGUGGGGAGCAAACGAGGAUUAGAUACC